This 141-nucleotide ribosomal RNA is filed under the name uncultured bacterium. Its description in RNAcentral is "partial 16S rRNA". It matches the Rfam family "Bacterial small subunit ribosomal RNA", at positions 355 to 511 of the family's 1533-position model. The record is from RNAcentral.
UGGGGAAUUUUCCGCAAUGGGCGAAAGCCUGACGGAGCAAUGCCGCGUGGAGGUGGAAGGCCUACGGGUCGUCAACUUCUUUUCUCGGAGAAGAAACAAUGACGGUAUCUGAGGAAUAAGCAUCGGCUGACUCUGUGCCAU